AAGCGGCAACAGCUCAAAUUUGAAAUCUGGCCUCGGCCCGAGUUGUAAUUUGCAGAGGAUGCUUCUGGCGCGGUGCCUUCCGAGUUCCCUGGAACGGGACGCCACAGAGGGUGAGAGCCCCGUAUGGUCGGACACCAAGCCUGUGUGAAGCUCCUUCGACGAGUCGAGUAGUUUGGGAAUGCUGCUCUAAAUGGGAGGUAAAUCUCUUCUAAAGCUAAAUACCGGCCAGAGACCGAUAGCGCACAAGUAGAGUGAUCGAAAGAUGAAAAGCACCUUGAAAAGGGGGUUAAAUAGUACGUGAAAUUGUUGAAAGGGAAGCACUUAUGACCAGACUUGGGCCGGGCGGCUCAUCAGGGGUUCUCCCCUGUGCACUCCGCCCGGCACAGGCCAGCAUCGGUUCUCGUGGGGGGAUAAGACCGUCAGGAACGUAGCACCCUCCGGGGUGUGUUAUAGCCUGGCGGACGAUACCCCCGUGGGGACCGAGGUCCG
This 489-nucleotide ribosomal RNA is filed under the name Phomopsis sp. MU-106. RNAcentral's name for it is "eukaryotic LSU rRNA". It matches the Rfam family "Eukaryotic large subunit ribosomal RNA", at positions 96 to 597 of the family's 3401-position model. The record is from RNAcentral. Lineage: Eukaryota; Fungi; Ascomycota; Sordariomycetes; Diaporthales; Diaporthaceae.